Molecule: ribosomal RNA, 395 nt
Filed under: uncultured bacterium
Lineage: Bacteria
Description: bacterial SSU rRNA
Rfam family: Bacterial small subunit ribosomal RNA
Source: RNAcentral
GGAAUCUUGCGCAAUGGGCGAAAGCCUGACGCAGCAACGCCGCGUGGGGGAUGAAGGCUUUCGGGUUGUAAACCCCUUUCAGCAGGGACGAUUAUGACUGUACCUGCAGAAGAAGGACCGGCCAACUACGUGCCAGCAGCCGCGGUAAUACGUAGGGUCCAAGCGUUGUCCGGAUUUAUUGGGCGUAAAGAGCUCGUAGGUGGUUCGCUAAGUCGGAUGUGAAAACUCGGGGCUCAACCCCGAGACGCCAUCCGAUAAUGGCGUGACUUGAGUCUGGUAGGGGAGAUCGGAAUUCCUGGUGUAGCGGUGAAAUGCGCAGAUAUCAGGAGGAACACCGGUGGCGAAGGCGGAUCUCUGGGCCAGUACUGACACUGAGGAGCGAAAGCGUGGGUAGC